This 253-nucleotide ribosomal RNA is filed under the name uncultured bacterium. Its description in RNAcentral is "partial 16S ribosomal RNA". It matches the Rfam family "Bacterial small subunit ribosomal RNA", at positions 524 to 776 of the family's 1533-position model. The record is from RNAcentral.
UACAGAGGGGGCAAGCGUUGUUCGGAAUUACUGGGCGUAAAGGGCGCGUAGGCGGCCCGCUAAGUCGAACGUGAAAUCCCCGAGCUCAACUCGGGAACUGCGUCCGAUACUGGCGGGCUUGAAUCCGGGAGAGGGAUGCGGAAUUCCAGGUGUAGCGGUGAAAUGCGUAGAUAUCUGGAGGAACACCGGUGGCGAAGGCAAUCCCCUGGGCCUGCACUGACGCUCAUGCACGAAAGCGUGGGGAGCAAACAGG